AAAUAUAGAGCAUCUCAUUCUCCUCAAAAAGCUUCAAAGUGCAAGAAAGGUAUGUAUCCCCUAAAAAGAGCAAAAGUAGAAUUAGACUUUCACCAUUGUUAUCACCAUCGUCACCAUACACCAUUCACUCGCCACACAUGCACAUCUUGAUUUGACUUAUUGACUUGUUCUUCUGGAUCCACGGUUUGACUAUGCAAUAAAUGUCUUGUAAGUAUGUAUUAUCUGUCUCCCACCUAUGAGCUCCAGAUAUCAAAACCUUAUUAGAGU
This 267-nucleotide long non-coding RNA is filed under the name Sorghum bicolor (sorghum). RNAcentral's name for it is "long non-coding RNA (SBIC_LNC008364)". The record is from RNAcentral. Lineage: Eukaryota; Viridiplantae; Streptophyta; Magnoliopsida; Poales; Poaceae.